UUUGGCCUAAAUAUCCUAGACACCAGAUCCGAUCUGAUCUUGGAAAUGAAGUAGGGUCAGCCCUGGUCAGUACUUUGGUGGGAGACCACCAAUGAAGAUCAGGUGUUGCUGAGG
Molecule: ribosomal RNA, 114 nt
Filed under: Anolis carolinensis (green anole)
Lineage: Eukaryota; Metazoa; Chordata; Lepidosauria; Squamata; Anolidae
Source: RNAcentral